GGGGAAUUUUCCGCAAUGGGCGAAAGCCUGACGGAGCAAGACCGCGUGAGGGAGGAAGGUCUGUGGAUUGUAAACCUCUUUUCUCAGGGAAGAAGAACUGACGGUACCUGAGGAAUCAGCAUCGGCUAACUCCGUGCCAGCAGCCGCGGUAAUACGGAGGAUGCAAGCGUUAUCCGGAAUUAUUGGGCGUAAAGCGUCCGUAGGUGGCUUUACAAGUCUGCUGUUAAAGAGCGGAGCUUAACUCCGUAAAGGCGGUGGAAACUGCAUAGCUAGAGUGUGGUAGGGGUAGAGGGAAUUCCCAGUGUAGCGGUGAAAUGCGUAGAUAUUGGGAAGAACACCGGUGGCGAAGGCGCUCUACUGGGCCACAACUGAC
RNAcentral lists this ribosomal RNA (373 nucleotides) under Phormidium sp. YRS7. RNAcentral describes it as "bacterial SSU rRNA". It matches the Rfam family "Bacterial small subunit ribosomal RNA", at positions 356 to 744 of the family's 1533-position model. The record is from RNAcentral. Lineage: Bacteria; Bacillati; Cyanobacteriota; Cyanophyceae; Oscillatoriales; Oscillatoriaceae.